This is a long non-coding RNA of Felis catus (domestic cat), 3750 nucleotides long. RefSeq lists it as uncharacterized. The record is from RefSeq and is a predicted model, not a curated record. Lineage: Eukaryota; Metazoa; Chordata; Mammalia; Carnivora; Felidae. The transcript has 3 exons.
CUUAUGCAGGGCUUGAUCUCAGGACCCUGGGAUCAAGACCUGAGCUGAAAACAAGAGUUGGACACUCAACCAACCGAGCCACCCAGGCACCCGUCUUUUGACUUCUACGAUUGUUUUGCUGUCAGAGAUUCAUGUUCAAAGGCCAGGAGGUGAUAUUGUGAUUUAAAAUAAGAAAUAUACAUUUGAUCUUUGUCCCAUUUCUAGCACAAAGCUCUUAAAGCCCUUGGAAUUCCCUAGGUGAUAAAAGCCACAAAGGUGUCUUUUGUUAUGCUAACAAAGUGACCUUUGGACUGCACAAAAGGCUGGGUGCUGGUUGCCAGGAGACCCAACCUAGUGAUUAGAGGGCUGGAACUUUCAGUCCUUCUGGAGAGUGGGGAGAGAGUCUGUAGGUUGAUUCAAUCACCAAUGGCCAGUGAUUGAAUCAGUCAUGCCUAUGUAACGAAGCCUCCCUAAGACCCUAAAAGGACUGGGUUCAGAGAGCUUCCAGAGUACCAAUAUAUGCAUUCUGGAUAUGAAUCCUUUGAAGAAUAUCUAUCUAUCCAUCCAUCCAUCCAUCCAUCCAUCCAUCCAUCUGUCCAAUAUCUCUGUAUUUGAGGGAUAAAAUAUUCAGUUUGGGGAAUCACAUAAAGAUCACUGGGGUAAGUCCCCCGUCCAUUAGGCACAGAAUAAGCAGCUGGCCCAUUGCACGUUAAAGAACCAGAACCUCUGGUCUCUUUUGACUCCAUCAACUGUACUGUAUUAUGAUCUAUGGAAAACAAAGUACUUGCAUUUAUCAUAUUUGGUUUGAGGGGAUCUGGCUUUUUGCCCUUGUUGUGAGUUGUCCAAAGCUGGAUGUUUCCUAAGCUGCUUUAAAAGUGGUUGGUGUUAUGUAAGUUGAGAUUUUUGAAUCCUUUAAGGCAUUUUUGUAGAAAUGAGCCAUUCCUAGACAUCAUGUUUAUAUCUCAAGUGGUGGCACUAUUUUUAAAAAUAAAAGGCUUCAAAACCUUCAGCCACAUUUUUCAGCCAUUACACAAUGUGUUCCUCAAGCAUAUGCAAAACAAUGACAGAGGGAAAUCAUUCAGCUAAGAGGGGGGAAAACAGCAGCUCGAUUUAAAAGUUUGUUAACAAAUAUUGUGAUUUGUUAUCUAACAGUUGGCUUCAUCUGGCAUUUGGAGACUUUCUCAAAUGCAAGAGUGUGUGGUGUAUUAAGAUUUAUUUGUGUAUUAAGCAAACAUCUUUGGUUGAAAUGUGGCUGGCAUAUUUAACUGAAUCAAAAAUGAGGAGGCGACACAUCCUGGAGAUUGAUAUUAUUUUGGGAAAUAUUUAGAAACAUAGAAAACAUUUUGUUGAUUCUCCAGAAUUUUCUGUGCCUCUUCCUGUCUUUAAUUUUUUAAAAUGAGGAACAUUUGAAAUAAUUACUCAGAUAUCUUUCUUUUUUUCUUAUGAUUCAGCACGGACCAUACUUGUAAUAUUUUCAUACACUGUCUAAUCCUGUUGAGGCUGACACCUCAUUGGGCCAGGGUUAACAUCUUUGUCCUCCCAUUAUAUUUGGAUGAGUUAAUUUGUCUCUGAACAUGUUUUUUUCCACAUGCAUCAUUUGUUCCUUUCUCCUAUCAAGCAUACACUUCUGGAUUCUUAUCUUAGAAGGAUGAGUUGCUGAAUGCAUAGUUUGCAAUGGGAUAAAUGUAGGAUAUUUGUGAAGUAGAACUCAACACUUUGUGAUUGCAGGGUAAAAUUUUAAGCAUCUGCAGGAUUUAAGAUUAGUAGAGUUUCUGCAAAUAAUGAAGGAACUCAGAUAUAGUGAGAACUGUUGUCGACUUUUCAUUACUUUCUAAUUAUUUACAUAAACGUGCAUUUGUACACUUUUGUUAAGAGAUUUCUCCACUUCUCUCUUCAUUUGUGACUGGAGGUAAAGAAACUUAACUGAUACUAUGUUAUGGCAUUAAUAAAACAAAUACUUAAAGGGAUUCAUUGGCUUUUGGGAGAGACAUAAUCUUUACUCUUUAGAAAUCAUGGAGAAUUAAGGGUUACAUUCGGGUUAGGAGUUAGAGUCCCAGCCCCCUUGAUUUGGAGGUCAAGUGUAAUAGAAGAUGAAUGUGUAUCAGAGACUUUUCCUCUGAAACAAACAGGAAGCUUUAAUGUUAGUAUUAUUCCAGAACUGAAAAGAGAACUUGGAAGGGUCUGGAUGAGUGUAUCUCCACAGCCCUUUGGGGAAGAGACUCUUUUUUAACUGGUUGCAUGAGUCGGACUAUUUCUGUAGACUCCUUCCCAGUUCUUACUCACCGGGCAGCUUGAUGUUCAUUUGAUUUCCUGAAUAGACUUCUCUACUGAGAAGAGAAUGUGUUGAACAGCCAACAUGAAUAUCAGUCUGCUUGGCAGUCAGAGCCUCAUAAAUUAUUCUGUUGGUUCUUUGACACAAAUCAGUCUCACAUGAGUUUGAGUUGCAUAAGCUGGAUUAUUUUUCUUUGUGCCUGAUAACCACUGGCAAAGCUGAUCAGUAAAUAUCAGCUCAGUAUAUACAUCUUUAACCAAGAAGACAAAACUCUGGGUAAAGUUGGAUAAUUGAAAUAUAUUUCCUAAGUACCCACCCAUCUACCUCACCCCAAUUAUUAAAGUAACAUGGGCUCAUUGUGUAAACAGUUGUGGAAAGCUAUUGAAUAAACAAUUUUAGCUCAUUGUAUAAACCAUUGUAGACAAUCAUUAUAGACCUUGCAGAACAUUAUAGACAGGUUUAGAUAUCUUCCUUCUUGUUUUUUUUUUUCUAAGCAUAAGAUACAUGGUUAAAAUUAUAUAAAUAUAGCUUACACUUAUUGCACACAUGAUAUACUAGGCCGUGUUGAAGUACUUUAUAUGUAUUUAUUCAUUUUAAUCCUUAAAAUAUCGUGAGGGGGGUAACAUUAUUCAUCCAUUUGGUAGGCAAGAAUACUGAGCACUGAAAUUUUAAAUAACCUGUUCAAUGUCACAGAGUAAGUAGUAGGGCUGAGAUUUAAACUGAGGUGGUUUGACUUUAUAACCAAAUUCUUAACCAUCAUUGCACUGUUACGCUUUCUUUUAUACCCUGUGGCCUGCUGCGUUCAAUGGACUCCUUAUAUAAUCGUAAAGCUUUGAAAGCCUUCUUGACCGUCAACCAACUGCUCAUGUCCACAAAACCCUCAACUUGACUUUGCCCAGAAAAGACUCAAAGAGAAAGCAAAAACCACCUGCCUUCAAAGUUCUUCUGAGUAUGUGGAAUGUAGCAGCCGAACUACCAGUCUCUGUCCUUGUUAUGCUGUGCCAACAUAUGGAAGCUUACACAGUUGGCAGUCAGAAUGUUGGACGAAUAUUCAGGCAGCUACUUUUCCAAAUCUACACGGCUCUCCCAAGCUAUCAUCAUGUAGCUCCAGCAGCUUCUUCAAAGGAUCCUGACUUCAUACCUUAUGAGCCACUGUCAGUUCAUAGACUUUCAUAUUUCCUUUCUGCCUUUGUAAUUAAACCUCAAUACUUUGGCCUAAGAUCCCUUUUCAUUGAAGUCCAAAAAUUCAUCUCAAUGGAGGAGGGAGUAUCUUCGGUAUGUGAAUUCUUUUUCUGAUAAGGACAGCGUAUAACCACCACCACCACAACAAAACCUAUGCUGAAGAAAAUGGAUUCACAGUGUAGCUUGAGAAAUUUAAGCUUGAUAGGAGAAAUUCUCUCCUCCAGCCAAUGUGAAAUGCUGAAACAAGUUUUAGGGAAAAGUGAUAGGCUCUUUUCCUUGGCAAAGAUCAUAUCACUUUAAAAUCUAUUAAAGGGGCG